UACGGGGGGGACAAGCGUUGUUCGGAUUUACUGGGCGUAAAGGGCGCGUAGGCGGACCGUCAAGUCGGGUGUGAAAACCGGUGGCUCAACUGCCGGCCUGCAUUCGAUACUGUCGGUCUUGAGUACAGGAGAGGAAAGUGGAAUUCCAGGUGUAGCGGUGAAAUGCGUAGAUAUCUGGAAGAACACCAGUAGCGAAGGCGGCUUUCUGGCCUGAUACUGACGCUAAAGCGCGAAGGCUAGGGGAGCAAACAGG
This 253-nucleotide ribosomal RNA is filed under the name uncultured bacterium. Its description in RNAcentral is "partial 16S ribosomal RNA". It matches the Rfam family "Bacterial small subunit ribosomal RNA", at positions 524 to 776 of the family's 1533-position model. The record is from RNAcentral.